GUUUUUAAAAAAGUGUUUAGCUUUCAAAAUGACAAGAUGGAUUUCCCAAAGUAAUCUACUUAAAUAAUUUUCAGUGUUGAUUUAUGUAAGUUAUAGAAAUAUCCUAAAGAUUUAAAAAAUAUUAAAUAUGAAAAUAACUUUUCUCUCUUUUGCAGUGCAGGGAUUGGACGAACUGGAGUUCUUAUUACUAUGGAAACAGCAAUGUGUCUUAUUGAGUGUAAUCAACCUGUUUAUCCCUUGGAUAUUGUAAGAACAAUGAGAGAUCAAAGGGCAAUGAUGAUCCAAACACCUAGUCAGUACAGAUUCGUUUGUGAGGCUAUUUUGAAAGUGUACAAAGAAGAACUUGUUAGGCCUUUAAAGACAUCACUGCAUAAAUAGAAAGCAAAAGAUACCUUUCAGAGAAGAAUCUAUAAGACACAAGCUGCACUUGUGCUAUAAUGUUGCUUGCAAGAAAUGGUGUCAGAAAAUAAUGAAGAACUAAAAAGGACUUCAGCACUAUUGCACUUUAAGUUGAAACUGAAAAUCAGUCUCUAGAACACUAUGAUUUUUCUGUGUUGAAAGACUCCAUUCAUGCUUUGCUUCAAACAAGCCACAGACUGAAUGAACUCCAUGAGUUCUGGAUAAUUUUCCAGACUUGGUUGUAGUGCCAUAUAACCCUUUUGUUUGAAAUGCUACAAAAAAGAAAAAAAAAAGCUUGGAAUACUUUCAUCUUUGUUUGACACCUAUCUGUUUCUGAAGCAACAACAAUACAUGCAAAGCUAUUUCUUCCAAU
Molecule: non-coding RNA, 772 nt
Organism: Python bivittatus (Burmese python)
Lineage: Eukaryota; Metazoa; Chordata; Lepidosauria; Squamata; Pythonidae
Source: RefSeq, a predicted model, not a curated record